RNAcentral lists this ribosomal RNA (318 nucleotides) under uncultured bacterium. RNAcentral's name for it is "bacterial SSU rRNA". It matches the Rfam family "Bacterial small subunit ribosomal RNA", at positions 28 to 334 of the family's 1533-position model. The record is from RNAcentral.
GAUGAACGCUAGCGGCAGGCUUAACACAUGCAAGUCGAGGGGCAGCAUGAGACGGAGAUUCGUCAAAGUCUUGAUGGCGACCGGCGCGAGGGUGCGUAACGCGUGAGCAACUUGCCCGUUUCUGGGGAAUAACCGGUGGAAACGCCGACUAAUACCCCAUAGCAUAACGAAGAGGCAUCUCUUUGUUAUUAAAGAAUUUCGGAAACGGAUAGGCUCGCGUGACAUUAGCUAGAUGGCGGGGUAACGGCCCACCAUGGCGACGAUGUCUAGGGGUUCUGAGAGGAAGGUCCCCCACACUGGAACUGAGACACGGUCCAG